Molecule: ribosomal RNA, 372 nt
Filed under: uncultured organism
Description: bacterial SSU rRNA
Rfam family: Bacterial small subunit ribosomal RNA
Source: RNAcentral
CGUAGGUGGCAAGCGUUGUCCGGAGUUACUGGGUGUAAAGGGCGUGUAGGCGGGAAGAUAAGUCAGAUGUGAAAUUCCAUGGCUCAACUGUGGCGCUGCAUCUGAAACUAUUUUUCUUGAGUGAUGGAGAGGAAAGUGGAAUUCCUAGUGUAGCGGUGAAAUGCGUAGAUAUUAGGGGGAACACCAGUGGCGAAGGCGACUUUCUGGACAUUAACUGACGCUGAGGCGCGAAAGCGUGGGGAGCAAACAGGAUUAGAUACCCUGGUAGUCCACGCUGUAAACGAUGGAUACUAGGUGUAGGAGGUAUCGACCCCUCCUGUGCCGCGGUUAACACAAUAAGUAUCCCACCUGGGGAGUACGGCCGCAAGGUUG